GUGAAUCAUCAAAUUUUUGAACGCAAAUUGCGCUUCCUGGCAUCCCGGGGAGUAUUUGUGUGUGAGGGUCAGUAUUAAUCAACAAUCGGUUUAUUUACCAAUUGUGACGUUUCCGGAGUUUGUGCUAUUUUAACAUUUUUGGUUAAGAGGCUUAAAAUUUACCUUUCUUGCGCAUUUUUAAUCGUACAUAUUUUUUUUUUUAUUCUUCUGUUCU
Molecule: unclassified non-coding RNA, 214 nt
Filed under: Glomeromycetes sp.
Lineage: Eukaryota; Fungi; Glomeromycota; Glomeromycetes
Description: partial internal transcribed spacer 2
Rfam family: 5.8S ribosomal RNA (bases 1-71)
Source: RNAcentral